Molecule: long non-coding RNA, 592 nt
Organism: Populus euphratica (Euphrates poplar)
Lineage: Eukaryota; Viridiplantae; Streptophyta; Magnoliopsida; Malpighiales; Salicaceae
Exons: 2
Source: RefSeq, a predicted model, not a curated record
GGUUCUUGCGCCUAUUCUUAUUCAUGUGUGCUCUUCCUUUAUUGACUAUCCUAUUAUAGAGUUAUGGUUAUCCCAUUACUUGGUAGAUAUGUAUUGCGAUCCUUUUUAGAGAUCAAACUGGGUUAUACCAACUUAUACAACGUUAGUUAGCCAUUUCAGAAAGAAAUCCUCCUCUAUCUUUUCUCUGAGUCAUCACAUCUUUUGACAUCUAAUUCAUUUUAGAUUAUGCCAGGAACUGCGAAGGGGACGGGUGCUUGUAGAUGAAGAGAAGGAAAAAGGUACAGAGAAGCAUAAAAAUCUCCUCUCCUGUUCAUCUCUGUAAGGUCUGUUACGUGCAACAACUAUACUUCGUUAAUUAAAAAUGGUUUACUCAUUUUUAACUGCUGCUGGGAUUUUCAAGGAGUUCUAAAAUGUUCAUUUUCAUCCGAGCACUAUAACAAUUGUUACUUCAAUGCUGAACAGAAAUAUAAUAACUGUUUUUUAGCGUUGGCUUGUGUUCUCCCCGUGAACAUGGAAGGAUUUCCCGUGUGAUUUUAGAAAUAUACUAUGAAACCAUUUUCAUCUUUUUAGUAAUGCAGGGACGAUUGCUAUA